CAGAGUCGGUGGCCGUCUCGCACUCCAAGCUCCGAUUCGUUCUUCCAGGCUCUGAUUUGGUGUGUUGGUGGUGGUUGUCUCGCACUCAACAUCAUUGUUCCUCUUCCAGGCUCUGAUUUGGUGUUGGUGGUGGCCCUCUCGCACUCAACAUCAUUGUUUGGACGCCAGUGUUAAGUUUCUCAUUGUGUUUGUGACCUGUGUUCGUGACACUCUCUAUUGUGGUUCAGGUUAGCGAUGUAGGCUCCCCGAAUGAAGUAAGGCGAUCUUCAUCCGCCAGUCAUCAACCUGUAAACAAUGGACCAUCUACUUAGUUUUAUGUAAGGUGAACAUGUUCUAAUGGGAGGGAGCAGCUUGUGUUUU
Long non-coding RNA from Lotus japonicus, 360 nucleotides. RefSeq lists it as uncharacterized. Lineage: Eukaryota; Viridiplantae; Streptophyta; Magnoliopsida; Fabales; Fabaceae. The record is from RefSeq and is a predicted model, not a curated record. The transcript is spliced from 6 exons.